This 233-nucleotide unclassified non-coding RNA is filed under the name plant metagenome. RNAcentral describes it as "partial contains small subunit ribosomal RNA, internal transcribed spacer 1, and 5.8S ribosomal RNA". The record is from RNAcentral.
UUUCCGUAGGUGAACCUGCGGAAGGAUCAUUAGUGAAUCUUAGGGCGUCUACAUGUAGAGCCUGACCUCCACCUUCUAACUCUGUGUACUCAUUUGGCGUUAAAAGGGAAUAGUGAUUGUCCAACGACGAUUGUGAAUUCAUUAUUUCUGCGGCAUACUUUAAACGCUAGUCAAAGUAUGUAACGAAAUACCGAAAUACAAAAAAACUUUCAACAACGGAUCUCUUGGCUCUC